UCAAUUUUCCAAAAAUAGGAGACGUUACGCAUUCUCUCUGUUCCUAAAGCUUCUUCCAUCGUUAUUUGAUCAGAUACCCUAAUUAUUUGAUCAGAUACCCUAAUUCUUCUCUAUUCCUUAUUGAUCUCAAAAUUCAAAACCUGUUCUCUCUACAUUUUCUCUCGCCGUUCUGUACUUUUCAUCAUCAGAUCUGUGUUCUGAAAUUUUAACAUGCAUUCUAUUAUCAACAUAAUAUCUCUACCUUUUCCACUUCAAAACCCUAAACUCAAAGGCAUGAACUAUCCAGGUAUUUUUCGGCAUAUUUCAUGAGGUAAUAUGAGAUUCCUCUUCGUAUCCUUUGUCCAUCUUCAAACCCUAGAACGUGUCUUUUGUGAUCUGUGAUCCAAAGUAACAAGUCGACUACACAGGCACGUUGUUUUCUUCAAACCCUAAAAUCGAUGUUAUUUGUUUAAGCUCGAAGAUCUGCCAUCUAUUUUUCAAUCAUUUCUAAAAGGGAUUUCCUCUGUUUCCUUUGUGAUAUGUAACAAGGUUUCACUAUUUUACUUGAGAGUUGAGAAAUAUGUUCAUGAUGUUGGUAGAUGAAUCAUUAGAUUUCUUUUUUUCAACAUUUGUGGAGUAGGAUCAAAUACAAACUACAUUUUGCAUACAAACCGUAAGAACCAUUUAAAAAGCGUCACGUGGCAUCCAACCCAUUAUAGAGAAAUGGUAAAAUGUUAUCCUAAUAUCCUAAAUAAUAUCAAUUAUAUUGAAUUCCCCAUAAAUAUGCUAACACGCAAUUAAUUCUUUGUUUGGAUCUUCUUUUUGUUUUCAAUGUGCUGAUUAAGAAAAGUGUUGAUAUCAUUCAAAUGUGUGCUAAAAUCAGUUAUCUUGAUUAUUUUUUAUGUGCUAAUAUAAUUCAAAAGUACUAAUUUUAUGUAUGUAUUGUUUUGGUAUGUGCUAAUUUAACUUUUUUUAAGUGCUAGGAUCUGUUCUUACGGUUUGUAGGUUAAAUAUGGUUUGUACCGGGACCAACCCCAACAUUUGUUAUGCUGAAUGAAUAUAGAGUUCUGUAUGGGGUUUUUUUCUUAUGAUUAUGAGAUGUUAGUGGCUUGCUGAUUGUUUCAUUUGUUUGUUAGUUAUGAGAAUGCUGAAUGAUCAUAAAGUCCAGGUAGCAUUUUUUUACUGAGGGGUAAAAAAAGUAAGACAACAACAUCCAUACUUUAUGACAUCUGUCAUUUUUUGUGUCACCACCAUGCUCUUUAAGAGUACAUGUUGGAGGUGAUCAUUCAAAGAGUUCAUGCAAAAUAAAGAACAAAAAUACAAUCUCAAUUGCUAAAUGUACAAGUUGGUGAGGUAAUUUAUCAUUAGUUUAAUACCCUUCGUUUAAAUGAUGCUAAUGAUACUGCAAAGUUAUGGACUUAACAUGUAUUAACCUGUAGACCUAAGAGAAAGAUGUAUGCUUCUGUUAUUUAUUUUUAUUUCUAAUUUUUUUUUAAUUUGUUAACACUAUUGGGUAAGCAAUGUGUCAAAUAUGGUUAGAUUAUAGUGUCCACUAUUUUGAGUGCACUGGUAUAAUUGUUUUGGAAGGAUUGCCACUAAUGGCAAAAGAUUACCCGAAAUUAUGAGCUUAUGUUAGAAAACAAAUUCUUAAAAAAGGAGAAAUAAUUGAUUCCCUCUCCGAUCUACUUUCUGGAAAUUUACAAAUCAGUUGGCAUUCGUUCUCAUGCUCGAGUGAUGGCUUGCGCAUUAACUUCCAGGUCCAGUGUUUAAAAGCUUUUGGUCUUUUCAAAUUUUGUGACCUUGCAUCUAUUCGUAUGUGUUUUUUUAACCUUUUCCUCUUUUGUAACAAACAUUAAAUACACGCGAAUGUGAUUAUUAUGUGUUUUGUAUUUAAAUUAUGUAUUUACUAUGUUAGAACCCCGUGUAUUACAUACACUGGUUGAAUAAAUGUCGAUUUCAGCAAAGAAAUGUAUAAACUCAAAUUCGGUUUUUCCUUUGAGUUAAAGAUCUGGUGUCGCUGUCGUCGCUUGAUGUGACAGUAGAAAAGAUCAAACGGCUGGUGAUGAAGGUCGUUGAGAAACAUAUCAUUUUCAACAAGUUGAUUUAGCAAAACACGGUAAGAGCAAUGGUCUGGUACUCCGGCCAAACUGGUGACGCUCUGAUUAUAUCACUCGGGCUAAUAAAGAUGGUAAUGAAGUAAGAAGUAUUAGUCUGACUCUAGGGUUCCGAUUAAGUUCCGCUAGCUUAGACUUGAUUCCGGGAAAGUACUAUAUGUUGUAUUUCUACGAAGAAGGUAAAUUACUCAAAUAAGUUUUUGUAUGACUUUACUGAUGAGAACAUGACUUAUGUGUGCUUGAUGUUGUUAGUUACUUUUUUUAUAUAUACACAUAAAAUAAGUUAAACUAAUA
This is a long non-coding RNA of Helianthus annuus (common sunflower), 2387 nucleotides long. RefSeq lists it as uncharacterized. The record is from RefSeq and is a predicted model, not a curated record. The transcript has 4 exons. NCBI's taxonomy places the organism in Eukaryota, Viridiplantae, Streptophyta, Magnoliopsida, Asterales, Asteraceae.